UGCAGUCGAGCGGNCAGAUGGGAGCUUGCUCCCUGAUGUCAGCGGCGGACGGGUGAGUAACACGUGGGUAACCUGCCUGUAAGACUGGGAUAACUCCGGGAAACCGGGGCUAAUACCGGAUGCUUGAUUGAACCGCAUGGUUCAAUUAUAAAAGGUGGCUUUUAGCUACCACUUACAGAUGGACCCGCGGCGCAUUAGCUAGUUGGUGAGGUAACGGCUCACCAAGGCAACGAUGCGUAGCCGACCUGAGAGGGUGAUCGGCCACACUGGGACUGAGACACGGCCCAGACUCCUACGGGAGGCAGCAGUAGGGAAUCUUCCGCAAUGGACGAAAGUCUGACGGAGCAACGCCGCGUGAGUGAUGAAGGUUUUCGGAUCGUAAAACUCUGUUGUUAGGGAAGAACAAGUACCGUUCGAAUAGGGCGGUACCUUGACGGUACCUAACCAGAAAGCCACGGCUAACUACGUGCCAGCAGCCGCGGUAAUACGUAGGUGGCAAGCGUUGUCCGGAAUUAUUGGGCGUAAAGCGCGCGCAGGCGGUUUCUUAAGUCUGAUGUGAAAGCCCCCGGCUCAACCGGGGAGGGUCAUUGGAAACUGGGGAACUUGAGUGCAGAAGAGGAGAGUGGAAUUCCACGUGUAGCGGUGAAAUGCGUAGAGAUGUGGAGGAACACCAGUGGCGAAGGCGACUCU
This 690-nucleotide ribosomal RNA is filed under the name Bacillus sp. MR-I15. RNAcentral describes it as "bacterial SSU rRNA". It matches the Rfam family "Bacterial small subunit ribosomal RNA", at positions 56 to 728 of the family's 1533-position model. Lineage: Bacteria; Bacillati; Bacillota; Bacilli; Caryophanales; Bacillaceae. The record is from RNAcentral.